Non-coding RNA from Capsicum annuum, 1293 nucleotides. Lineage: Eukaryota; Viridiplantae; Streptophyta; Magnoliopsida; Solanales; Solanaceae. The record is from Rfam.
CUUAUAGAGGGUUCGAUCCUGGCUCAGGAUGAACGCUGGCGAUAUGCUUCACACAUUCAAGUCAAAUAGGAAACAAGAGAAAUGAUGUUUCCAGUUGUUGAUGGGUGAGUAAGGCAAUCGAACCUACCUUUGGGAGGGGAAAAACAGCUGGAAAUGGCUUCUUAUACCCCAUAGGCUUGGGAGAAAAAUAAGGAAUCCGCAGAAGAGAGGAUCACAUCUGAUUAGCUAGUUGGGGAGGCAAUUUCUUACCAAGGCAACCAUUAGUAGCUGGUCUGAGAGAAUGAUCAGUCACACAAGGACUAAGACAUAGCCCAGACUCCUAUAGGAGGUAGUAGUGGGGAAUAUUUUGCAAAAGCCUGACGGAGCAAUGCUGUGUGAAGGAGAAGGCCCACAGAUCAUGAACUUCUUUUCCUAGAGAAAAAGCAAUAACGAUACUUGGGGAAUAAGAAUCACUUAGAUGUGUGCCAGUAGCUAUGAUAAUAUAGAGGAUGCAAGCGUUAUUAGGAAUGAUUAGGCAUAAAGUGUCUGUAGGUGGAUUUUUAAGUCUGUCGUCAAAUCCCAGGGCUCAACCUUUGACAGGCAGUGGAAACUACCAAGAUGGAGUAUGGUAGGUGAAGUAGGAAUUUUUGGUGGAGCGAUGAAAUGCAUAGAGAUUUGAAAAAACACUAAUGGUGAAAGUACUCUGCUGGGAUGACACUGACACAUAGAGAUAAAAUCUAGGGUAGCGAAUAUGAUUAGAUACACUAGCAGUCUUAGCCCUAAAUACUAAAUAAGGGAAUACGUUCGCAAUAAUGAAACUCAAAGGAAUUGACGGAGGCCUACACAAGCGGCGGAGCAUGUGGUUCAAUUUGAUGCAAAGCAAAGAACCUUAUGAAGGCUUCACAUGUUGCAAAUCCUCUUGAAAGAGAGGGGUACCUUCAAGAAUGCAGACACAGGAAGUGCAUAGCUAUCGUCAGCUUGUGUCGUAACGCAUUGUGUUAAUUCCCUCAAAGGACAAAACCCUCGUGUUUAGUUUCCAUUAUUAUAUUUAGAACCCUGAACAAGCUUUUGAUAACAAGAUGGAGGAAGGUGAGGAUGACGUCAAGUCAUCAAGCCCCUUAUUCCCUGGGCAACACACGUGCUACAAUGGGACAAAGGGUCACGAUCUUCUGAGGGUGAGCUUACCCCAAAAAACCAUUCUGUGUUUGGAUUACGGCUGCAACUCGCCUGCAUGAAGCCAUAACCACUAGUAAUCGCCGGUUAGCCAUACAUAAUUACCUAACAUUACUUACAGUACCUAACAUUACUAACAGU